This 291-nucleotide unclassified non-coding RNA is filed under the name uncultured fungus. Its description in RNAcentral is "sequence contains ITS1, 5.8S rRNA gene". The stretch from base 243 to 291 matches the Rfam family "5.8S ribosomal RNA", at positions 1 to 49 of the family's 154-position model. The record is from RNAcentral. Lineage: Eukaryota; Fungi.
UUUCCGUAGGUGAACCUGCGGAAGGAUCAUUAAAUAAAUAAGAAGUAAUUAGGCUCGUCCUAUUACUAACUAUUUUACUGUGAACUGUUUUAUUUUGCAGCGUUUGAGGAAUGUUCUUAUGCUAUAUGGGUAGGUAUAAGAAAUGUUAACCGAGCUGUAAUCAGGCUUAGGCUUGGUACCCUGUUUAUAUACUUUCAAUUGAUCAGAUUUUAAAAUGUAACAUAGAUUAAAAUCUAUAAAACAACUUUUAACAACGGAUCUCUUGGCUUUUGCAUCGAUGAAGAACGCAGC